GCUUGUCUCAAAGAUUAAGCCAUGCAUGUCUAAGUAUAAACAACUCUAUACUGUGAAACUGCGAAUGGCUCAUUAUAUCAGUUAUAGUUUAUUUGAUAGUACCUUACUACUUGGAUAACCGUAGUAAUUCUAGAGCUAAUACAUGCAUACAACCCCAACUGCCUGUGCGGACGGGGCGUAUUUAUUAGAUCGAAACCAAUGCGGGGCAACCCGGAUUCUGGUGAUUCAUAAUAACUUUCGGAUCGAUCCUCGGAUCGAUGCAUCAUUCAAGUUUCUGCCCUAUCAGCUUUGGAUGGUAGGGUAUUGGCCUACCAUGGCUUUAACGGGUAACGGAGAAUUAGGGUUCGAUUCCGGAGAGGGAGCCUGAGAAAUGGCUACCACAUCCAAGGAAGGCAGCAGG
This 400-nucleotide ribosomal RNA is filed under the name uncultured Chrysophyceae. Its description in RNAcentral is "partial small subunit ribosomal RNA". It matches the Rfam family "Eukaryotic small subunit ribosomal RNA", at positions 30 to 432 of the family's 1831-position model. Lineage: Eukaryota; Chrysophyceae. The record is from RNAcentral.